GCCUUAUAUUGUGGGACAAAGGGAGUACCUCAGUUUCUUCCUUUCUUCUUUCGCAUUUCUUUGUCGGAAACCACGAUGUUGGUUAAAUAUAUGUUUUGACUCAAGAUCAAAGGCAAGUAAUCAUCCAUGAAGAAAUUGAAAACGAGAUGUGAUUAACACUUUAGACCAGCUUAUGUUCUUCAUGAUAGUAUGUUUACAAAAACGAGAAAGCUAACCACCUGUCGACUGGACAUUAGGGACAGGCACGAACGAGUCCCGCGUUGUCAGAUAGGAAAUGAGCGGCUCAUGAUCCACCUUAUCCCUUCCUCCUUUCUCUCCCCCGACGGCGUCCAAUCUCCUUCCUCCUGCGCCAGGUGGCCAAGGAGAGCUACCAGGCGCGAGACCAAGUGUAGCAGCAGCUCCUCGUGGCGGCCAAGCAGGCGGCGGCGCUAGCAGCGACGACACUAGCGCUGGGUACGUCGAGCGUCACCGACUUGGACUGUAGCCUCCUGUCGUCCCCGAUGGACCCCUUCUUCGACCCUAUCACCUCCUUCGACCGGGCUGCUGCGUCGGCCGGUCGGCGGCAAGCUCAGCCGCGCCAGCCCGCCCCCGCCGGCCAAGCAGCAGCUGCAGCAGCAGUGCGGCACCGACGCGAUUCUCGACAUGCUCGCCGCGAAGAUGCCGCUGCCGUCGAGGGACCGGCUGCUGCACUCUGUGCACAUGCUUCCGCUGCUGCUGCUGUAGUCUCUGUUGUAGUACAUGUAUGCUGAGAAUUAUGGAGCAGAGAUGAUGUCUUCACGCCUUGGUAGCCGAUACAAGGUCUCAACCACAUUUUGGCUGCUUAACCGAAGUUGCAGGGCUGAAUUUGGUGGCUUACAUGGGCAGCCCACGGCUCUACUCUGUUAGCUUCGGUUCAGUAACUUCAGUUUUGUAAGAACUUGCCAAGCCAUUUUUACAUGUAUUUUCUUCCCAAAGAAUAUCACAGAAUUGAAUGAAUGAUCUCCUUCAUGGUGUAUCUCAAUCUAUAAUUUUUUAUAGUAUGAUUAUUCUAUGGAAUGAAUGAUCAUCUCCUCCAUGUAGAAAUGCUACUCUGACUGACUCUUAACAUCCUUCUUGCAUGAUAAUUAAGGAUUGCUGCCACGUGUCACCGCUCCCCCGCGCUCAUGCGGCUAGACACUCCUU
RNAcentral lists this ribosomal RNA (1161 nucleotides) under Triticum aestivum (bread wheat). RNAcentral's name for it is "partial small subunit ribosomal RNA". Lineage: Eukaryota; Viridiplantae; Streptophyta; Magnoliopsida; Poales; Poaceae. The record is from RNAcentral.